GCUCGUUUGAAUCCACUUGCGAAGAAUCCUCCAAAGGGGCCAAUGAGCGAGGCAAAGGUGGAGAGAGCGAUGCUGUGAAUCUGGAAGGGGUACAUCCGGACCGUUUUCUGAGAAGAGUAAAUGAAGUAAAAGUUUAGCAUAAAAAGCCCUCACCAGAAGCCAGGCAGCAGCCAAUGCCACACUUCUCACACUUCUCAGCCUGCAGAAACAAGCUAAGUAAACCUCUUUUCUUUGUAAAUUACCCAGCCCCAAGUGUUCUGUUAUAUCAACACUAGACAGACCAAGACAUCCAACCUCGUAACUCUUUAUGAAACUAAUUAUAUAUAUGUAGGUUUUAAAUCAAUAAAAGGAGUGAAUUUUUCCCAUUUUGUAAAUUUCUAAUAUCUAAGUUAAUGGAAAACAUUAAAAUAUUCUGCAUUCAAUCUGUUGCAACAUGCUGUUUUGGUGGAAGUAUAUAAAGAAAAUCCAGCCAUACGCAGAUACAUAGUUGAAAAGAGUAUUUUAGUCGUAGCCUCAGAUGGUUUUGGGUAUUCUCUGACACUACACCAGAGCUUGACAAGUAGUCAUUUCUUGAAUAUUAGGUGUGAUAUGGAAUCUAGAAUUCUAUCAAUGGACUUUGUUCUCUCUUACAUUAAAAUCCAUUGGUCUAUCUUAUACUUGAAUGGAUCUUUUACCCAUGCAUGACUAUAUAACACCAUGCAUCAGCCAUUUAGAAAAUAAUGGUUCACUGAGUUAUGUAAAUCUUCCAAAUGUAGACACAUUUCAUUAUACCGUGUCAAAUAUGUUUGUGUUUUUUCUCAUGUGAUCAACACACACACACACACACACACGUACGUUAAGAAUCAUCACAGACCUCAUCAGAAAAGGCUUUUAAGUAUUAGGAAGCUGUCAAGUUCACACUGGCAGGUUAAGCUUUCCAAAAUUCUAAUUUUCAUUUGAAAGCCAAAUUUUAUCCUUGGUAACAAUUACUGUCAGUCAUUUUUCUUUUUUUUCUUUUUUCUUUUUUUUUUUUUUGAGACAGUCUCACUCUGUCACCCAGGCUGGAGUGCAGUGGUGCGAUCUUGGCUCACUGCAUCCUCCGCCUCCUGGGUUCAAGCAACUCAACCUCCUGAGUAGCUGGUAGCUGGGAUUACAGGCACAUGCCACCACCCCCAGCUAAUUUUUUUGUAUUUUUAGUAGAGACGGGGUUUCGCCAUGUUACCCAGGCUGGUCUGGAACUCCUGACCUCAAGAGAUCCGCCUGUCUCGGCCUUCCAAAGUGCUGGGAUUUCAGGUGUGAGCCACUGUGCCUAGCCUCAGUUGUUUUCUUUAAAGUGAUAGGCUCACUUCAUCCUUUUCAAGAAAAAUGUCUGCCAAAUACCCAAGUCUGAAAAAUUAUAAUUUGUUGGUUCUUUCCAAGUAAAAUUUACUUUCUUUUCUAGAAAAAAGCAGCUAAUUCAGCUCACAACUCAAACAACUGCACACAUGCUUUCCCUUUAGGCAAGCACUGUACUACAGUACUUAGCAGAAAUGUUUUACACAUACUUUCCAUUUCAGUAGAGAGUAUUAAAAAGGUGUGUGUACAAAGGUCAAGAUUUAACAAAAUUAGUAACUUUACUAUUUCAUAGACAUUCAUUAGAAGAACUGGCCUGUUUGUACUGUGAGUGUGUGGCAUGAGGAACCCACUGUCUUAAUGCAGUUUUAACCACUGCUGCUUUUGCGCUGUUAUCACAGCAAAUGUCAACACAUUGAAAAAGGAAAACAAUGUCAUAGUCUAAUUAUGAAACAGUUGUGACCUCACAGACCCCCCACCCUACCCCCGCAACUAAAAGGAUCCCAGGGCCCUCCAGGGAUCCACAGAACACACUUUGAAAACCACUGGUCUAAACAAUCUGAUGUUGGGGGAAAGGUGUCCUGCCCAUACCCUGACCUGGCGUGAGCAAUUCUCCUUCAUCCUGGGGCUUACAGCUUUGGGAAGGAGGAAGCUAGCUUUUUUCAGAGGGCAGGUGAUGGAGGGGGAUCUCUCUUUGUAGCCACUGUCCAUGGAGGCCGCUCACCCCCUGUGAGUGGCACAUACCCAGCCAAUGACUGACUGGAUCACCCCAGGAAUGUUGUACUCCUGCAGGCGAAACAGGUCCGAGGGCUCACAGUCCACAGUGAAGCUGUUGGUGUCGUUGUUGUACUCCACAGGGCAGACAAAGCAUCUGUACCCGGACAUCACAUAGGACAGCUGAGGAGGAAUAACAGAGAGACCGGCAAGGAGGUUGUGGAUAACAAGAUGUGACUGUGUUACAACAAUCAGCAAUGUCACAUGGGUCCAGCCAAACUGCAAAAAGAAGAAAAAUAAACACUACUUACCAGUUUACCUUGAAAGUAACUUCAAAGAACAAUCAAUACCAAAUAGAAAACUGCUGAGAAGCAGACUGCUUGUUCCUGUGAACCAACCAGUGAUCUCUGGCUGCAGCUCAGAAGAAACAAGAGGGAUUGGUGAUAUAAAAAUCUGAAUCAGUAUUCUAAUUCUGGGAACAUAUUGCAAUCAGCUACCGACCCCGUAUCAGCUUGGUUCCAACAAUUACCCAGUUCAUGGAAAGCCUUCUUUAGUUUACUUGGGAUAGUUUUGCUUAUUUUGCUUUACUGAUAUGGAAUAGUUGUACUAUUUGUGUAGGAAUGCAGGAUAAGCUUACUCAAUGUUCUCUUAAACACUUACAAAAUCUUCCAGAUAUCACUUUGUGUCCGAGCUGUGAAUGGCCCUAACCAUACUGACACUUUCUGACUGAGCUCCUCUCUACCCUGAAUACAAGAGACCUCGAUAGGUAGGCAGGAAUAUCAUUGCCCCUAAUCAGCCUGAAGAAGUUACAGAGGAUGGAUCUUCGUCCCUCUGCAACCCUUAGGAUUAAGGGUUCUCUUAUAAGAGUGAUGGGGGAAAUGUCAGAGGCAUUUGAGCUAGAGCAACUCCAUCCUGAAUAGGAGCUGGGUAAAAUGAGGCUGAGAUCUACAGGGUCUGCAUUCCCAGACGGUUAGGUAUUCUAAGUCACAGGAUGAGAUAGGAGGUCACACAAGAUACAGGUCAUAAAGACCUUGCUGAGAAAACAAUUGCAGUAAAGAAGCUGGCCAAACCCCUCCAAAAUCAAGAUAGCAAUGAGAAUGACCUCUGCUUGUCCUCAUUGCUACACUCCAAUCAGUGCCAUGGCAGUUUACAAAUGCCAUGGCAACAUCAGGAAAUUACCCUAUAUGAUCUAAAAAAGGGAAACAUGAAUAAUCCACCCUUUGUUUAGCAUAUAAUCAAGAAAUAACCAUAAAAAUGGGCAACCAGCAGCCCUCGGGGCUGCUCUAAGGGGUAGCCAUUCUUUUAUUCCUUUACUUUCUUAAUAAACUUGCUUCCCCUUAAAAAAAAAAAAAAGUUUGCCAAUACCUGUCCUAGUAUUCAUAGGGCUGGGAGAAGAGGGAUCCACAUGGUAUAGGGUCAAGACCACCUUUUUAUCUCUCUCACAGUGACCUAGAUGGUAGCACAGCAUGUCCGCAGACCCCUUCUCCAGGAAGGAAAGGAACCUUUACCCAUAAAUAUGCGGAGAUCCUCAAAAGCAGUUCUGCCCAGAAAUAAGCAUGUCGCUUUUCCAGACCCCUUACCUCCCACUGUGGAAGGCUGCUUUCGGGGUCUGCAGCAUACUCUCUGAAUAUCCUCAAUGGCAGCAGACCCCUUUGCAGAUUUUAUAUUUUAAUAGUCAGGUGUCAUUCACAGAAGUAUUGCUAUCAAGCUGAUCAAAAAUAGGUCAGAUUGACAUGGAGGUCAGAACAAAUUUUUCAUGCACCUCAAACUAGCUUUGAAGGUAGCUAUGAAAAACUAUCAGCAUUAUUAGAAUUAGUACGUGGCCUUAGCUGAAUUUAUAUUAAUAUAACGCUUUAAUGUUUGUGAAGUUUUAAUGUAUUUGAUUUAAUCCUCGCAGUAACCCUGCAGUUUUAGCUCUAGAUUACAAAAGAGCUGAGACUCAGAAAUAUUAUGUUCCUAGCUCCCCCUGAGGUUGCAGAGUCUGAGCCCAAAUCCAGUAAAAUUUCCACCAUGCUACAAUGUCACCCAAGGCGGUCUCCUAAAAUGACUCCCCUAAAGAUGGUAAGUUCCUAGAUGAUUUUUGUUUCGGUCCCACUGCAGAAUCUUUGCCAACAGGAGAGUCAGGACAGGACCAUGCUGUGCUGUUCCUCAAUGGUGGCUGAAACACAGGGGCAGGUGGCACAGGCCACAGUCCUGCCCCUACACUCUGCUUCUCUUAAAAGAGCUCCUACAAGGCCGGGCGUGGUGGCUCACACCUGUAAUCCCAGCACUUUGGGAGGCCAAGGCAGGCGGAUAAGUUAAACUCAGGAGUUCGGAACCAGCCUGGCCAACAUGGCGAAACUCAGUUUCUACUAAAAAUACAAAAAUUAGCUGGGCAUGGUAGCAGGCACCUGUAGUCCCAGCUACUUCGGGACCUGAGGUGGGAGGAUCGCUUGAACUUGGGAGGUGGAGGUUGCAGUCAGCUGAGAUGGUGCCACUGCACUCCGGCCUGGGUGACAGAGUGAGACCCUGGCUC
Molecule: long non-coding RNA, 4540 nt
Organism: Pan troglodytes (chimpanzee)
Lineage: Eukaryota; Metazoa; Chordata; Mammalia; Primates; Hominidae
Exons: 4
Source: RefSeq, a predicted model, not a curated record